GACGAACGCUGGCGGCGUGCUUAACACAUGCAAGUCGAACGAUGAACCACUUCGGUGGGGAUUAGUGGCGAACGGGUGAGUAACACGUGGGCAAUCUGCCCUGCACUCUGGGACAAGCCCUGGAAACGGGGUCUAAUACCGGAUACUGAUCAUCUUGGGCAUCCUUGGUGAUCGAAAGCUCCGGCGGUGCAGGAUGAGCCCGCGGCCUAUCAGCUUGUUGGUGAGGUAAUGGCUCACCAAGGCGACGACGGGUAGCCGGCCUGAGAGGGCGACCGGCCACACUGGGACUGAGACACGGCCCAGACUCCUACGGGAGGCAGCAGUGGGGAAUAUUGCACAAUGGGCGAAAGCCUGAUGCAGCGACGCCGCGUGAGGGAUGACGGCCUUCGGGUUGUAAACCUCUUUCAGCAGGGAAGAAGCGAAAGUGACGGUACCUGCAGAAGAAGCGCCGGCUAACUACGUGC
This 464-nucleotide ribosomal RNA is filed under the name Streptomyces sp. Its description in RNAcentral is "bacterial SSU rRNA". It matches the Rfam family "Bacterial small subunit ribosomal RNA", at positions 28 to 508 of the family's 1533-position model. Lineage: Bacteria; Bacillati; Actinomycetota; Actinomycetes; Kitasatosporales; Streptomycetaceae. The record is from RNAcentral.